UACGAAGGGGGCUAGCGUUGCUCGGCAUCACUGGGCGUAAAGGGUGCGUAGGCGGGUCUUUAAGUCAGGGGUGAAAUCCUGGAGCUCAACUCCAGAACUGCCUUUGAUACUGAGGAUCUUGAGUACGGGAGAGGUGAGUGGAACUGCGAGUGUAGAGGUGAAAUUCGUAGAUAUUCGCAAGAACACCAGUGGCGAAGGCGGCUCACUGGCCCGAUACUGACGCUGAGGCACGAAAGCGUGGGGAGCAAACAGG
Molecule: ribosomal RNA, 253 nt
Filed under: uncultured bacterium
Lineage: Bacteria
Description: partial 16S ribosomal RNA
Rfam family: Bacterial small subunit ribosomal RNA
Source: RNAcentral